RNAcentral lists this ribosomal RNA (494 nucleotides) under Klebsiella pneumoniae. Its description in RNAcentral is "bacterial LSU rRNA". It matches the Rfam family "Bacterial large subunit ribosomal RNA", at positions 104 to 641 of the family's 2925-position model. Lineage: Bacteria; Pseudomonadati; Pseudomonadota; Gammaproteobacteria; Enterobacterales; Enterobacteriaceae. The record is from RNAcentral.
CCGGCGAUGUCCGAAUGGGGAAACCCAGUGCAAUUCGUUGCACUAUCGUUAACUGAAUACAUAGGUUAACGAGGCGAACCGGGGGAACUGAAACAUCUAAGUACCCCGAGGAAAAGAAAUCAACCGAGAUUCCCCCAGUAGCGGCGAGCGAACGGGGAGCAGCCCAGAGUCUGAAUCAGCUUGUGUGUUAGUGGAACGGUCUGGAAAGUCCGACGGUACAGGGUGAUAGUCCCGUACACCAAAAUGCACAGGUUGUGAACUCGAAGAGUAGGGCGGGACACGUGGUAUCCUGUCUGAAUAUGGGGGACCAUCCUCCAAGGCUAAAUACUCCUGACUGACCGAUAGUGAACCAGUACCGUGAGGGAAAGGCGAAAAGAACCCCGGCGAGGGGAGUGAAAAAGAACCUGAAACCGUGUACGUACAAGCAGUGGGAGCACCUUCGGGUGUGACUGCGUACCUUUUGUAUAAUGGGUCAGCGACUUAUAUUCUGUAGC